This is a long non-coding RNA of Zingiber officinale, 1888 nucleotides long. RefSeq lists it as uncharacterized. The transcript has 4 exons. The record is from RefSeq and is a predicted model, not a curated record. NCBI's taxonomy places the organism in Eukaryota, Viridiplantae, Streptophyta, Magnoliopsida, Zingiberales, Zingiberaceae.
UUAGGUAAUCAAAAACCUAAAACGUUCGUCACUUGCGAUAGAUGCCGCCCACCCCGUGCGCCGUGCGACGCCCCUCUGCUGAACCACCUCACCACUGCCUUCCCACAGUCGGCCAUCUCGGAGGUCGUGGCUUUCCUGAAGGCUAGUCGUCGCUCCCUCUCUCGCGUCUCCCUCUCGCGAUUGCGACGCACGCCUCACCGGUUGUCUGCGUGCCCCACUACCUGCUGCCUGUGAGCCCCACCGCCGCGUUGGGCAUCGACUUGCGCCUUCCCCCACCUGGACCAAAUCACCGAUCGCCACCUCUUGAUCGUCGUCAUUACUGCCUUCCCUUCCCCUCUGCUGUAGUCGCCAGUGUCACCACCAACCUUUUGCCAUUGAGAAUCCACCACUGUCGAAGGAGUUGCUGGCAAGGUUAGCAAAUAGAAGAUGUGUUGUGUCGCUCAGAGGUCUUGGUUGCCGGUCCCACUCGAGUUUAGAUAUCUUUUUGAGUUAUUUGAUUUAUUUUCCACUGCCUUUGUUUAUAUUUGUACUUCUUAGCCAAAUUUUAUGUUCACAUGAACAUGCAUAUAUAUACACAUUUAAUUGGUAUGAGUGGUGGUUUUUUAUAUUGCAUCAAUGUUUGUGUUGACUUUUAUUGAUUUGAUAUCGGUUAUUUCCUAUAUUGUCAUUAGGAGGUAGCGUCCUGCUUGGCGGAUAAGUAUACCCUUGGGCGUGACAACUGUCAUGUGGAAAAUCAAAUAAAAAUGAAGGGGGGGGGAGGGGGGUAGGGUGAUCACUUCGAAGGGAAUCUACCUCCAAUAAUCAAGUGAAAUUGAUUAACCAAAAAAAAUUACUCGUCUUCCAAAGAUUACAACGUCUCUUUAAAUAGACACAUAAAGUACCUUUCCAAGAGAAAAGUCUAACUUAUUUAAAAGAAACAUAAACUUAUCUUAGAAAAUGAAAUAAACCUAAAGGAUUUAUUUCAUUAAAUGUAUUAAAGGAUCUUAUCCUAAAGAUAAAGUUUUAAAGGAUUUAUUUGAAUAGAUCCAUUAAAGGAUCUUAUCAGCCUGAUCGACCCUUCUCUUUGCUUCCUUCACCCUCGGCGCUAUGGAGACCCUUCACAAUGCCUAAUAUCUUCUUUGCACUGCCCUAAUCUUCUUCGCACUGCCCUAGUAUGUUACUCUUCUAGUGCCUCUUCCAUUUCUUCAAUGAUUGUUGAUCGAUUCUUUUGGGGGAUUGUUGCAUCCCCGCUAAUCUAGAUCUUUUAGGUCUAAAUGUUGGUGGUGGCUCAAGGUGAAGCUGCAGCUGAGGCAGCUUAGCAGGAUAUGGGAUUUCUUCCCAUUCGAGUAGGUUCUUGAUACAAUGCUCCAUGAGCUGUGCCACAUCAUGUGCGGGCUACACAAUGCCUCAUUCUAUAAGCUCUGGAAUGAGUUGCACAAGGAGAUUAUGAGAGUCUUCAAAAAGAAUUGUAUGAGCAGUUAUUCGUUGUUUCAAAAUAUAUCUCUGAUAUGGGCUCUCGGAGAAUAUCACACUCGUGUCUUGUGCCCUAUAGAUUACUAGUCUUGCCUCCUACAAUGGUGAUCUUUAAAUUGUGGUAUUGCCACAUCUCUAAAGGUCCAUGGCCCUUUUCCAAAGCAGAUAAUGGGUGGUCUGUCUUAGAUUGCACAACAAAAGGACUUAAAGGCAUCCCUCUUGUUAUCUAAGAUUCUUCAGAGAUUGUUGACGAUCCAAUUAAAGCAAGGAAGCUUUAUGAUGCAGUUAAUAUCUUCCUUUCACUAAUGGUAACAACACCAGAAAUAGAUGCAAACACUUAACAGUAACUUUUCUUCUAGUUGCAGUUAUGUUGCAGAACAAGGAUGGUAGUUUUGCUACUUAUGAACUUACUAUUGGAAAUAUUUUAUUUUGAUUA